Molecule: long non-coding RNA, 427 nt
Organism: Pseudophryne corroboree (corroboree frog)
Lineage: Eukaryota; Metazoa; Chordata; Amphibia; Anura; Myobatrachidae
Exons: 3
Source: RefSeq, a predicted model, not a curated record
UGCUAUUCUCUUCCACAGGUCUUGCAGAGUAUCCUUCCCAAGUUGCAGUAACCAGCGUGGAUGUGAAGGGACACGACAGUUCCCCUGCUGUACCAUGGGCGACCUACUUGUGAUGUGGACCUGAACCUCCGCCAUGUAGCAGACACCCCCCCUCAGGUUUUGCGGAGUAUCCUUCCCAAGUUGCAGGAACCAGCGUGGAUGUGAAGGGACACGACAGUUCCCCUGCUGUUCCAUGGGCGACCUACUUGUGAUGAGGACCUGAACCUCUGCCAUGUAGCAGACACACCCCCUCAGGUCUUGCGGAGCAUCCUUCCCAAGUUGCAGUAACCAGCGUGGAUGUGAAGGGACACGACAGUUCCCCUGCUGUACCAUGGGCGACCUACUUGUGAUGUGGACCUGAACCUCCGCCAUGUAGCAGACACCCCCC